Molecule: non-coding RNA, 588 nt
Organism: Cebus imitator (Panamanian white-faced capuchin)
Lineage: Eukaryota; Metazoa; Chordata; Mammalia; Primates; Cebidae
Source: the annotation of a RefSeq genome assembly
AGAGCAUCACUUUUUCUAACUGGUAAAACAGAUUCUUUUUAUGAUUUUUAAGGUAGAAAAACUAGAAACAUUCAUUCUAGGUUCAUUUUUUUUUUUGUAGAAUUUAAAAUUUAAAUACUCAGUGAAUCAGGGCAGAAAAGAAUGAUGAAAUCCUUGACAGUUUUACUAGUGAUCCUGUGGCUUCAGUUAAGCUGGGUUUGGAGCCAACAGAAGGUGGAGCAGAAUUCCGGACCCCUCAAUAUCCCAGAGAGAGUCACUGCCUCUCUCAACUGCACUUACAGUGACCGUGGUUCUCAGUCCUUUUACUGGUACAGGCAAUAUUCUGGGAAAAGCCCUGAGCUGCUGAUGUCUAUAUACUCCAAUGGUGAUGAAGAAGAUGGAAGGUUUACAGCACAGCUCAGUAGAGCCAGCCAGUAUGUUUCCCUGCUCAUCAGAGACUCCCAGCUCAGUGACUCAGCCACCUACCUCUGUGCAGUGAGCACACAGUGCUCCCCAGACACCUGCAGUCUGUACCCAAACCUGCUCGGCCCAGGAAUGCCUGAUAUAGAGCUUAGACUGCAGGGUAGUGAAGUUCUUUUUGUUCUCUAG